CCUACGGGGGGCAGCAGUGAGGAAUAUUGGUCAAUGGACGAGAGUCUGAACCAGCCAAGUAGCGUGAAGGAUGACUGCCCUAUGGGUUGUAAACUUCUUUUAUAUGGGAAUAAAACGUUCCACGUGUGGGAUUUUGUAUGUACCAUAUGAAUAAGGAUCGGUUAACUCCGUGCCAGCAGCCGCGGUAAUACGGAGGAUCCGAGCGUUAUCCGGAUUUAUUGGGUUUAAAGGGAGCGUAGGUGGAUUGUUAAGUCAGUUGUGAAAGUUUGCGGCUCAACCGUAAAAUUGCAGUUGAAACUGGCAGUCUUGAGUACAGUAGAGGUGGGCGGAAUUCGUGGUGUAGCGGUGAAAUGCUUAGAUAUCACAAAGAACUCCGAUUGCGAAGGCAGUUCACUGGACUGCAACUGACACUGAGGCUCGAAAGUGUGGGUAUCAAACAGGAUUAGAUACCCCGGUAGUC
RNAcentral lists this ribosomal RNA (460 nucleotides) under uncultured bacterium. RNAcentral describes it as "partial 16S ribosomal RNA". It matches the Rfam family "Bacterial small subunit ribosomal RNA", at positions 338 to 795 of the family's 1533-position model. The record is from RNAcentral.